This 425-nucleotide ribosomal RNA is filed under the name uncultured bacterium. RNAcentral describes it as "partial 16S ribosomal RNA". It matches the Rfam family "Bacterial small subunit ribosomal RNA", at positions 354 to 796 of the family's 1533-position model. The record is from RNAcentral.
GUGGGGAAUCUUGCGCAAUGGGCGAAAGCCUGACGCAGCCAUGCCGCGUGAAUGAUGAAGGUCUUAGGAUUGUAAAAUUCUUUCACCGGGGACGAUAAUGACGGUACCCGGAGAAGAAGCCCCGGCUAACUUCGUGCCAGCAGCCGCGGUAAUACGCAGGGGGCUAGCGUUGCUCGGAAUUACUGGGCGUAAAGGGCGCGUAGGCGGACAGUUUAGUCAGAGGUGAAAGCCCAGGGCUCAACCUUGGAAUUGCCUUUGAUACUGGCUGUCUUGAGUACGGGAGAGGUGAGUGGAACUCCGUGUGUAGAGGUGAAAUUCGUAGAUAUUCGGAAGAACACCAGUGGCGAAGGCGACUCACUGGCCCGUUACUGACGCUGAGGCGCGAAAGCGUGGGGAGCAAACAGGAUUAGAAACCCCGGUAGUCC